UACGUAGGGGGCAAGCGUUGUCCGGAUUUCUUGGGCGUAAAGAGCGUGUAGGCGGCUAGGUAGGUCCGUUGUGAAAACUCGAGGCUCAACCUCGAGACGUCGAUGGAAACCAUCUAGCUAGAGUCCGGAAGAGGAGAGUGGAAUUCCUGGUGUAGCGGUGAAAUGCGCAGAUAUCAGGAAGAACACCCGUGGCGAAGGCGGCUCUCUGGUACGUGACUGACGCUGAGACGCGAAAGCGUGGGGAGCAAACAGG
This 253-nucleotide ribosomal RNA is filed under the name uncultured bacterium. Its description in RNAcentral is "partial 16S ribosomal RNA". It matches the Rfam family "Bacterial small subunit ribosomal RNA", at positions 524 to 776 of the family's 1533-position model. The record is from RNAcentral.